Peromyscus maniculatus bairdii (prairie deer mouse) is the source of this 218-nucleotide non-coding RNA. The record is from RefSeq and is a predicted model, not a curated record. Lineage: Eukaryota; Metazoa; Chordata; Mammalia; Rodentia; Cricetidae.
GGAACUCUGUGCAGCAGUGUGCACUCGCCACUCUUUGUUCCUUGACUAUGAUGCCUGUGUGAUGUCCCACUGCUUUGAUAUCCCUGCUGCGAUGGAUGGACUGUGCUCCUGAACCGUUCCCAGUCGCUUUGAAUGUGUCUCCCAAGAGUUCCUUCCUGUGUUGGGAGCUCGGUUCUUGGUGUGAUGUAUUGGGAAGUAUUGAACUUGUAAGAGAUGAA